UACGGAGGGGGCUAGCGUUGUUCGGAAUUACUGGGCGUAAAGCGCACGUAGGCGGUCGGGCAAGUCGGGUGUGAAAGCCCUGGGCUCAACCUGGGAAUUGCCUUUGAUACUGCAAAUCUCGAGUCCGGAAGAGGUGAGUGGAAUUCCUAGUGUAGAGGUGAAAUUCGUAGAUAUUAGGAAGAACACCAGUGGCGAAGGCGGCUCACUGGUCCGGUACUGACGCUGAGGUGCGAAAGCGUGGGGAGCAAACAGG
RNAcentral lists this ribosomal RNA (253 nucleotides) under uncultured bacterium. RNAcentral's name for it is "partial 16S ribosomal RNA". It matches the Rfam family "Bacterial small subunit ribosomal RNA", at positions 524 to 776 of the family's 1533-position model. The record is from RNAcentral.